This 447-nucleotide ribosomal RNA is filed under the name uncultured bacterium. RNAcentral's name for it is "bacterial SSU rRNA". It matches the Rfam family "Bacterial small subunit ribosomal RNA", at positions 355 to 825 of the family's 1533-position model. The record is from RNAcentral.
UCGGGAAUUUUGGGCAAUGGGCGAAAGCCUGACCUAGCAACGCCGCGUGAAGGAUGAAGUAUUUCGGUAUGUAAACUUCGUAAGAAUAGGAAGAAUAAAUGACGGUACUAUUUGUAAGGUCCGGCUAACUACGUGCCAGCAGCCGCGGUAAUACGUAGGGACCAAGCGUUGUUCGGAUUUACUGGGCGUAAAGGGCGCGUAGGCGGCGUGGUAAGUCAUCUGUGAAAUCCCCGAGCUUAACUCGGAACGGUCAGAUGAUACUGCUGUGCUAGAGUACAGAAAGGGCAAUCGGAAUUCUUGGUGUAGCGGUGAAAUGCGUAGAUAUCAAGAGGAACACCUGAGGCGAAGGCGGGUUGCUAGGCUGAUACUGACGCUGAGGCGCGAAAGCUAGGGUAGCAAACGGGAUUAGAUACCCCCGUAGUCCCUGAGCGGGCUGGCAAGGCGCAU